This 328-nucleotide ribosomal RNA is filed under the name uncultured Neocallimastigales. RNAcentral describes it as "partial large subunit ribosomal RNA". Lineage: Eukaryota; Fungi; Neocallimastigomycota; Neocallimastigomycetes; Neocallimastigales. The record is from RNAcentral.
GUUGUUUAUCUGGAAAUCAAUCUAUUCUGCGGUAUUUUUGUGAGGUUGAGACCUUAUCAGCUCUCCUUGCUCUUUAUGCCGCUGAUUGGAUGCACUUUCCUCUUAACAAGUCAACAUCAAUUUCUUUUGUUGUAAAAUGGUUGUUGGAAGGUGGCUUUCUUUUCGGAGAAAGUGUUUAUAGCCAGCGAUCCCUGCAAUCGGAGAGAUUGAGGUCUGCAGCGUAGAUCCUUCGGGGUUAGAUACUUUGGUGCUAAGUUAUAACCGGGUAUAGACAACUUGUUGACUAUGCUCGAUCCUGUAGCUUACCCGCUGAAGCUAUUUUACCUAC